GUGAGAGAUGUCCUGCAUGGCAACAUGGAGCACCAGAGGGCCCGUUCACGAAUGAAUUGCCCAAGGCCUGGGUGUCAUCACUGUGUUGACGACAUCUACCUGCCUUUGCAUGCCCAGCCAGACCCUGCCUCCUGCCCCAGUGACCUGGGAGAAGCUUAAUUGGCAGUUCUCGGAUGAUGACAUCUUUACUGUAGUGAAUAAAUAGUAACAAUUAACCUUGAUUGCGUGGUUUUGUUACACAUGACUGCAUGUUUCAAUUUGCAGUUGAUUAAAACAACACUGGAGGCUACACUAUGCUCUCAAAGGAUCAUCCCAGCAGGCAGUUGACUUUACAAACAAGCCGAUUCCCAAGUCUUAAGGGAAUGUCUCAAUAUAAUUACUUGUCCAUCCAAAUGAUUUCUACCCAUGAAACUAAUUGACACAGAUUUGUAAUAUUUGUCAGAUAUUCA
This is a long non-coding RNA of Gadus chalcogrammus (walleye pollock), 449 nucleotides long. RefSeq lists it as uncharacterized. NCBI's taxonomy places the organism in Eukaryota, Metazoa, Chordata, Actinopteri, Gadiformes, Gadidae. The record is from RefSeq and is a predicted model, not a curated record. The transcript is spliced from 3 exons.